RNAcentral lists this transfer RNA (73 nucleotides) under Marmota monax (woodchuck). RNAcentral describes it as "tRNA.Glu". Lineage: Eukaryota; Metazoa; Chordata; Mammalia; Rodentia; Sciuridae. The record is from RNAcentral.
GUGGAUAUAGCUCGGUUAAUUGAGUGCUUGCCUCUCAUGCACAAGGCCUUGGGUUCAAACCCCAGCGUGCACA